GAUGAACGCUGGCGGCGUGCCUAAUACAUGCAAGUCGAGCGAACGGACGAGAAGCUUGCUUCUCUGAUGUUAGCGGCGGACGGGUGAGUAACACGUGGAUAACCUACCUAUAAGACUGGGAUAACUUCGGGAAACCGGAGCUAAUACCGGAUAAUAUUUUGAACCGCAUGGUUCAAAAGUGAAAGACGGUCUUGCUGUCACUUAUAGAUGGAUCCGCGCUGCAUUAGCUAGUUGGUAAGGUAACGGCUUACCAAGGCAACGAUGCAUAGCCGACCUGAGAGGGUGGUCGGUCACACUGGAACUGAGACAAGGUCCCGACUCCUAAGGGAGGCAGCAGUAGGGAAUCUUCCGCAAUGGGCGAAAGCCUGACGGAGCAAAGCCGCGUGAGUGAUGAAGGUCUUCGGAUCGUAAAACUCUGUUAUUAGGGAAGAACAUAUGUGUAAGUAACUGUGCACCUCUUGACGGUACCUAAUCCGAAAGCCACGGCUAACUACGUG
RNAcentral lists this ribosomal RNA (497 nucleotides) under uncultured bacterium. RNAcentral describes it as "partial 16S ribosomal RNA". It matches the Rfam family "Bacterial small subunit ribosomal RNA", at positions 28 to 507 of the family's 1533-position model. The record is from RNAcentral.